RNAcentral lists this transfer RNA (71 nucleotides) under Candidatus Providencia siddallii. Its description in RNAcentral is "transfer RNA Cysteine". It matches the Rfam family "tRNA". From Rfam's summary of the family: Transfer RNA (tRNA) molecules are approximately 80 nucleotides in length. Their secondary structure includes four short double-helical elements and three loops (D, anti-codon, and T loops). The record is from RNAcentral. Lineage: Bacteria; Pseudomonadati; Pseudomonadota; Gammaproteobacteria; Enterobacterales; Morganellaceae.
GGCGCGUUAGCAGAUCGGUUAUGCACCGGAUUGCAAAUCCGUGUAGCUCGGUUCGAUUCCGGGACGCGCCU